AUUGAACGCUGGCGGCAUGCCUUACACAUGCAAGUCGAACGGCAGCACGGGAGCAAUCCUGGUGGCGAGUGGCGAACGGGUGAGUAAUAUAUCGGAACGUGCCCAGUCGUGGGGAUAACGUAGCGAAAGCUACGCUAAUACCGCAUACGAUCUAUGGAUGAAAGCGGGGGAUCGCAAGACCUCGCGCGAUUGGAGCGGCCGAUAUCAGAUUAGGUAGUUGGUGAGGUAAAGGCUCACCAAGCCGACGAUCUGUAGCUGGUCUGAGAGGACGACCAGCCACACUGGGACUGAGACACGGCCCAGACUCCUACGGGAGGCAGCAGUGGGGGAAUUUUUGGGACAAAUGGGCGCAAGCCUGAUCCAGCAAUGCCGCGUGCAGGAUGAAGGCC
Molecule: ribosomal RNA, 389 nt
Filed under: uncultured bacterium
Lineage: Bacteria
Description: bacterial SSU rRNA
Rfam family: Bacterial small subunit ribosomal RNA
Source: RNAcentral